RNAcentral lists this long non-coding RNA (354 nucleotides) under Oryza sativa (Asian cultivated rice). Its description in RNAcentral is "long non-coding RNA (OSAT_LNC000686)". Lineage: Eukaryota; Viridiplantae; Streptophyta; Magnoliopsida; Poales; Poaceae. The record is from RNAcentral.
GUUUAACAAGUACAACACCGACACACUACUGGGGGACACCCUCCUCACUUUGCCUAUUCCCUUUGUCGCAGUUGAUUAUGAGAUCACCUACAGGAUAUACCAAUACAUCAAGUACGUAACUUAUUUAUGAGGAAUGUUUUAUAUAUAUACAUAUAUUAUAUCACUGUGAAUGUCCAUUUCAAAAGAGGUAUUAGUACCCUUUUUUUUCCUUUAAUCCGAUGGAUCGUAUCUAGUUGGAAAAGUACGAAUUAUCACCCUGAGCCGGCAGAGGCUGACUGCAAAGAUCGGCGACCGUGGAGGCAAGGGUGGCGCCGUCGAGGACGAGUGGCGCGCCAGCGGCUACGAGCCUCCUCU